Molecule: transfer RNA, 71 nt
Filed under: Marmota monax (woodchuck)
Lineage: Eukaryota; Metazoa; Chordata; Mammalia; Rodentia; Sciuridae
Description: tRNA.Val
Rfam family: tRNA
About the family: Transfer RNA (tRNA) molecules are approximately 80 nucleotides in length.
Source: RNAcentral
GGGGUUGUGGCUCAGUGGUAGAGCGCUCGCCUAACACACGUGAGGCACUGGGUUUGAUCCUCAGCACCACA